AACCUGGUUGGGUGGUCUGCCUUCACGGUACGUACUGCUUGGCCGGGUUCUACCUCUUGGUGAGCCAGCAUGCCCUUCACUGGGUGUGUCGGGGAACCAGGACUUUUACCUUGAAAAAAUUAGAGUGUUCAAAGCAGGCGUAAGCCAUUGAAUAUUACAGCAUGGGAUAAUAGAAUAUGA
This 180-nucleotide ribosomal RNA is filed under the name uncultured Glomeromycotina. RNAcentral describes it as "partial small subunit ribosomal RNA". The record is from RNAcentral. Lineage: Eukaryota; Fungi; Glomeromycota.